Molecule: ribosomal RNA, 867 nt
Filed under: Aquanectria jacinthicolor
Lineage: Eukaryota; Fungi; Ascomycota; Sordariomycetes; Hypocreales; Nectriaceae
Description: SSU rRNA
Rfam family: Eukaryotic small subunit ribosomal RNA
Source: RNAcentral
UAUAUAAGUUAUCGUUUAUUUGAUAGUACCUUACUACUUGGAUAACCGUGGUAAUUCUAGAGCUAAUACAUGCUAAAAAUCCCGACUUCGGAAGGGAUGUAUUUAUUAGAUUAAAAACCAAUGCCCUUCGGGGCUCUCUGGUGAUUCAUGAUAACUUCUCGAAUCGCAUGGCCUUGUGCCGGCGAUGGUUCAUUCAAAUUUCUUCCCUAUCAACUUUCGAUGUUUGGGUAUUGGCCAAACAUGGUUGCAACGGGUAACGGAGGGUUAGGGCUCGACCCCGGAGAAGGAGCCUGAGAAACGGCUACUACAUCCAAGGAAGGCAGCAGGCGCGCAAAUUACCCAAUCCCGACACGGGGAGGUAGUGACAAUAAAUACUGAUACAGGGCUCUUUCGGGUCUUGUAAUUGGAAUGAGUACAAUUUAAAUCCCUUAACGAGGAACAAUUGGAGGGCAAGUCUGGUGCCAGCAGCCGCGGUAAUUCCAGCUCCAAUAGCGUAUAUUAAAGUUGUUGUGGUUAAAAAGCUCGUAGUUGAACCUUGGGCCUGGCUGGCCGGUCCGCCUCACCGCGUGUACUGGUCCGGCCGGGCCUUUCCCUCUGUGGAACCCCAUGCCCUUCACUGGGUGUGGCGGGGAAACAGGACUUUUACUUUGAAAAAAUUAGAGUGCUCCAGGCAGGCCUAUGCUCGAAUACAUUAGCAUGGAAUAAUAGAAUAGGACGUGUGGUUCUAUUUUGUUGGUUUCUAGGACCGCCGUAAUGAUUAAUAGGGACAGUCGGGGGCAUCAGUAUUCAAUUGUCAGAGGUGAAAUUCUUGGAUUUAUUGAAGACUAACUACUGCGAAAGCAUUUGCCAAGGAUGUUUUCAUUAAUC